Cajanus cajan (pigeon pea) is the source of this 1639-nucleotide non-coding RNA. Lineage: Eukaryota; Viridiplantae; Streptophyta; Magnoliopsida; Fabales; Fabaceae. The record is from RefSeq and is a predicted model, not a curated record.
GUUUUGGAUCCGCGUUGAAAGACUCUACUCGUAAAGUAAACAAACACUAAACAGAGUGAACAAACAAACGCACGCUCUGUAUCAGAAGAUCGCAACGCAACGCAACACUCUCUCUGCGCCGCCAUGGACGAUCCCCCCUUGCAGAAGAUCGCGAUUUCCGGCCCCACAUUAGCCUCCCUCAUGGAGCGCUUCUCCUCCGCCCCCUCCGCCGUCGACGGCCUCCUCUACGGCCACGUCACCCACCUCCCCCCAACCCUCUCCGACGACUCUUCCUCCUCCUCCUCCUCCUCCACCCCCACCCUCCUCGCCACCGUCACCGGCUUCCUCUCCUCCCCCUCCUUCCACGACUCCUCCGGCACGGUCCUCCCCGCCUCCCUCCGCCCCCACCAGCAGCACUCCUCCCUCCUCGGGUGGUUCUCCGGGCGGCGCCGCUCCCCCCUCCGCCCUUCCAUGCGCGAGUUCUCCGUGACCUCCUCCCUCUCCUCUCUCUCCCAAUUCUCCUCCCAAAUCCAAAACCCACACUCCCCCAACCCACCCUCCCUCUUCCCCCCUUGCAUCUUCCUCCUCCUCGCUUCCCCUCCCUCCGAGCACGUGCCCUCGCACGUGCACACUCACGAGUACCGCGCCUUCCAGUUCCGCCCCGCGGCCCAGCGCUUCGAGCCCAGGUCCCUCGACGUCGUCAACAUUGGGCCCGCCUUCCGCGGCCACUACGGGGCCUUCAGCCCCAAUUCGCGCCUCCCGCCGCUCGAUUGCGCGCUCCGGGGCUCCCCGAUGAGCGACGGCGGCGAGGACGAGCGGCUGGGCCGGAUGAAGCGGGCCGCGAAGGACCAGAGGGAGCUCGACGAGUGUGCGCGAGGGUUCGACGUGGGGAGGCUCGGCAGAAUGAUGGGGUCUGAUGCUAGAAGUUACACCGAGGGUUUGGAGGAGUUGUAUCAGGAAAUGCUUGUUAAACUCGUGGAUUUGACCUCCUUGGUGGAGAGGAGUUCUGCCAAGGUUCUUGAGCAGGUGACAUUGUUACUCGAGAAAGUCAUAAUAGGAAGUUGAAACACAAAAUUUUGAGAUCUGCUGCCUCAGAAUAAUUAUCUUUAUCAUCGCUGGUGAUCCCUUCUUUUUUGUUCAGAUUUAUGAAAGAUCAUGUCCCAAAUUCUUGAUAAAACUUAAGUUACAACCUUCUAUUUGGAGACUUUUUCCUUGCAACUUCUUGCGUUCCUUUGUGAAAGAAAUCUGUUUAAUUCUUUAACAGUAGAUGUGCACUAACGCAGGUUUAAACUUAGUACAGGGCAGAGAAGAUUAGCAACGGACAUUUUCAGCGUUCUGUGCCUGAUCUGAAUCAUCAACAGUUUCUUCUGAGAACGCUGAUCUGAAUCAUCAACAGUUUCUUCUGGUGGUCACUUGCAGAAUGAGUUUGCCUGUUUGGACCUUUUGGUGGGCCUGUGAUGUAUGCAGUCCAGCUAUUGUAGAUGAUGUAUUUUAUUUUUUUGAUGACUCUUCAAGCUGAAGAAGGUAGUAAUUGUGCAGAGUAGUUGAAUGAUGUGGUCCUUUUCAAUACAAGACCGAUCUGAUGUUUUUUUCUCUCCACCCUGUGGCAUAUAUUUGCUCCAUGUAAUUAUAUGCCAACUCUAUUCUUAUUGUAUUUUCA